This is a long non-coding RNA of Amphimedon queenslandica, 293 nucleotides long. RefSeq lists it as uncharacterized. Lineage: Eukaryota; Metazoa; Porifera; Demospongiae; Haplosclerida; Niphatidae. The record is from RefSeq and is a predicted model, not a curated record. The transcript has 2 exons.
ACACACUACAGGCAACAUAGCAGUUGUAGCUGAGAAGGAAGCUCAUAGAAGAAGACUCCUCGGCAAUGAAUUUAAAUGUCUAUCCUCAUAUAAACACCUACUUCAUUUAAACACCCAGCAAACGGGUCUCUAUAAGAAUAAAUGCCUAGGUGCUUCCAUGAGGAAAUACGGUACUUUUACAUUAUACAAGUCAUACUAAUACACUAGUCACUACAUCAUACACUUACUGGGGGUAUCUUCCAAUUAAUGUCUGCCCCAUUAGAGAGGGCAUCCUUCAUUCCUUCAAUAUUUCC